Solanum tuberosum (potato) is the source of this 368-nucleotide long non-coding RNA. RefSeq lists it as uncharacterized. The record is from RefSeq and is a predicted model, not a curated record. The transcript has 2 exons. NCBI's taxonomy places the organism in Eukaryota, Viridiplantae, Streptophyta, Magnoliopsida, Solanales, Solanaceae.
CCAAACAUAAGCUCACCUCUGAACACUCAAGCUGCUGCUCUUUGGUGCAAUCAAGAAGAAUACAGGAAGAUGGUUGAGAAGCUAUACAAGCCUAGUGUGUAGUUAGGUGUUAGUGUAGAAUUUUUGUUCUUUUUUCAUAUGGAUGGAACAAAUGUAGUUGGAAUUGUUUUAGUCAGACUACUUUAGUCACUUCCAGCUUAGGUUUCCAUCAAGCAGGUCAGAUCAUUCCUACUAUCAUGUGGUAUUUGUUGACUGUUGGAAUGUCUCCUCCUUCUGAUUUGAGCAACACCAGCAUGUAGAUACCAUGUUAUAUCUCAUCCUCUUUAGUGCAUCAUCUGGUGGUAGUUUGUACUUCCAAAAUCUUCACA